Molecule: ribosomal RNA, 116 nt
Organism: Sinocyclocheilus anshuiensis
Lineage: Eukaryota; Metazoa; Chordata; Actinopteri; Cypriniformes; Cyprinidae
Source: Ensembl
UUCAGCAGCCAUAUCACCCUGUAGCCCAAGACUGGGUGCCCACUGAAGUUAAGCAGGGUUAAGCUGGUCAGUACCUGGAUGGGAGACCUCCUGGGAAAACUAGGUUGCUGCUGGAC